RNAcentral lists this ribosomal RNA (508 nucleotides) under uncultured bacterium. RNAcentral's name for it is "partial 16S ribosomal RNA". It matches the Rfam family "Bacterial small subunit ribosomal RNA", at positions 30 to 523 of the family's 1533-position model. The record is from RNAcentral.
AUUGAACGCUGGCGGCAUGCCUUACACAUGCAAGUCGAACGGCAGCGGGGGAGAAGCUUGCUUUUCCUGCCGGCGAGUGGCGAACGGGUGAGUAAUACAUCGGAACGUGCCCUGUAGUGGGGGAUAACUAGUCGAAAGAUUAGCUAAUACCGCAUACGACCUGAGGGUGAAAGUGGGGGACCGCAAGGCCUCAUGCUAUAGGAGCGGCCGAUGUCUGAUUAGCUAGUUGGUGGGGUAAAGGCCUACCAAGGCGACGAUCAGUAGCUGGUCUGAUAGGACGAUCAGCCACACUGGGACUGAGACACGGCCCAGACUCCUACGGGAGGCAGCAGUGGGAAAUUUUGGACAAUGGGCGAAAGCCUGAUCCAGCAAUGCCGCGUGUGUGAAGAAGGCCUUCGGGUUGUAAAGCACUUUUGUCCGGAAAGAAAUGGCUCUGGUUAAUACCUGGGGUCGAUGACGGUACCGGAAGAAUAAGGACCGGCUAACUACGUGCCAGCCGCCGCAGUAA